UCCUAGUCCAAAGGUAGACCGUGUG
This 25-nucleotide non-coding RNA is filed under the name Rattus norvegicus (Norway rat). The record is from RNAcentral. Lineage: Eukaryota; Metazoa; Chordata; Mammalia; Rodentia; Muridae.